GUGUCAGCCGCCGCGGUAAUACGGAGGGUGCAAGCGUUAUCCGGAUUCACUGGGUUUAAAGGGUGCGUAGGCGGGUAAGUAAGUCCGUGGUGAAAUCUCUGAGCUUAACUCAGAAACUGCCGUGGAUACUAUUUGCCUUGAAUAUUGUGGAGGUGAGCGGAAUAUGUCAUGUAGCGGUGAAAUGCUUAGAUAUGACAUAGAACACCAAUUGCGAAGGCAGCUCACUACACAAUCAUUGACGCUGAGGCACGAAAGCGUGGGGAUCAAACAGGAUUAGAUACCCUGGUAGUCCACGCCCUAAACGAUGAUUACUCGACAUCAGCGAUACACUGUUGGUGUCUGAGCGAAAGCAUUAAGUAAUCCACCUGGGAAGUACGAUCGCAAGAUUGAA
This 391-nucleotide ribosomal RNA is filed under the name uncultured bacterium. RNAcentral describes it as "bacterial SSU rRNA". It matches the Rfam family "Bacterial small subunit ribosomal RNA", at positions 505 to 898 of the family's 1533-position model. The record is from RNAcentral.